ACAUAAUGGAUAAUUUACUUAAAAAGCAAACCCCUAUAUUUUGAAACUUAAUUUUAGAAAUAGAAAAGAUUACUGGCAGCCAAACAAAGUAUUUACUCAGGUGCCUCGUAAACAUGAUUUGGCAUCCAAAACCUGGAUAUGACUUAGAGAGGAGCUCACACCUUUGAACAAACUGUGCUUUUCUAAUCCUGCACCUUUAUCUGAGCCAAAGCCCCAGGUCAGGGCUAGGAAAGUCAAGAAAUAGGAAGGAAAUCGGUCAGUUUUCUAUCAUCAUUGGCUGCUGUGUAUAACCUCAGCAGAGUGGACACCAGGGAGCGCUGAGCUAGUGAAAAUCCAAUUCAGUUCUUCCUUCUCUAUGAUGUAUUUUAAUGAAGCAAGCAGAUGAACACCAGUGAGAUGUACUUCUACCUCAUUCCUAUCUUAUAGAUGAAGAAAUUGAGGCUCAGAGAUGUUAAGUCACAGAGCUAAGAAAUGACAGGGUCAAGAUCUGAACCCCUGUUCAUCUGACUCCAAAGCCUGUGCUCUAUGUUACCUACCUCACUAUGAUGGUUGGGAUACUCAUGACAUUGGCCAGUUAAAGGCCACUGAAACCAGAGAGCAUAUGACAGCUGUAAUGUGAUAUGGAAGUAUCUGUGAUUUUUCCUGGUGACAGAAUCAAAGGUUGGGCUUGAAAGUGUAACAAGAGGUUAAAAUAGAAGUUCUAGCUGAAGCACAAAGAAAGUAGAAACAACACAUCAAAGUGAGGGAUUUAUAAAGCAGGAGACUGAAAACCAGCUGGUGACUCUUGAAUUCCUCACCCUUAUUGAGAGUAUAAAAGGCUUAUAGCCCUCACCCUUUCACCUCAAAUCAAGAGGGAAGGGUUUUAGAAACACAACUUGGAGAGCUUAAUAUGUAUCCCUGAAGUUUGAGGAAAGGGGACGUAGUGUACUGACUUCUGCCUGGAAAGUCUAACAGGUGGGAGAUUAAUUGACUGCAAUGAAGGAGAAAGCCAAUGACAGGUUGCUUCUUGACUGGAAUUGUUCAGCACUCCAGAGGCUGUCAGGGAAAGGAUGUGAGCAUGCUGCCUGGAAUCUGAUGUGGCUCAGCUGUAGGACAAAGAUAGUGUGUUUUCUUAAGUUCUGACCAAAUGAACCACCUUAAGAGACAAAGAUCACUCAGCAAGGAAAGCUGAAGAUGCUAUGAGAUGCCAGAGGUUGGGGAAGGAGCAAACAACCAGCUGGAAUGGAUAUGCCUUUUCUCAAAGAAAAUUGCAAGUGGAAGAAUUCCAGCCAUGGGGUCUCCAAAGCAUCCGUGAAACUGUUCCACAAGACAAGGAUGGAUGACUGAAUGCCAAACCCAGAGAGCAGUGAAGCUAAAUCAACUCAAUCAUUUCAGUGAAGAAAGAAAUCUCCUGUCCUUUCCUGUCCCUGAACUCCAUGAUGAAGGGCCAUGUGCUGUAGGUAGCAAAACAGGGGAGAAAGAAUUUCAGUUUUCCUUUUCCCUUGAAAUUUUCUAGCUAAAUCAGUCCGAAAUGUGGAAGGAAAAAGCAUGAAGUUUUUUAUUUUUAUUUUUUGAGACUGAGUCUUGCUCUGUUGCCCAGGCUGGAGUGCAGUGGUGUGGUCUUGGCUCACUGCAACCUCCUCUUCUCGAGUUCAAAUGAUUCUCCUGCCUCUGCCUCCCGAGUAGCUGGAAUUACAGCCGUGCACCACCAUGCCCAGCUAAUUUUUAUAUUUUUAGUAGAAACAGGUUUCACCAUGUUGGCCAGGCUGGUAAUGAACUCCUGACUUCAGGUGUCUGCCAGCCUUGGCCUCCCAAAGUGCUGGAAUUACAGGCAUGAGCCACCACACCUGGCCACAUGAAAGCAUGAAAUUUAAUGCAGAUAGAUUUACCUAUCAUAUAAAAAUGGAAAACCGAAUUACUAAGUGGAACUGAUAUUUUGUGAUCCAGGAAUGACCAUGUCUGAACUUUCAUUUGAGGGGAAAAAGGAUAAUUAACACCAUUGAACAAAUUUAAAGGGAGAAUGGAAGACAAAGUAAAGUUGUUUUAUGUUUACAUACAGCUGUGCUAUUAAGAAAAGCUACCGAUUUUUAUUUUUUGUCUCGUACAAAUUUUUCUCAUUAAAGUUAUACAACCAACAAAAAUAGAUUUGUAUCUUCUUUUCUACUAUGAGUAUUGAUUAUUUUUAUCUCAUUGCAUUUGCUUGGA
This 2184-nucleotide long non-coding RNA is filed under the name Homo sapiens (human). RNAcentral describes it as "non-protein coding lnc-PHF3-1:8". Lineage: Eukaryota; Metazoa; Chordata; Mammalia; Primates; Hominidae. The record is from RNAcentral.